GUGGCGGAAGGGUGAGGAACGCGUGAGUAAUCUGCCCCCAAGUUGGGAAUAACAGUUGGAAACGACUGCUAAUACCGAAUGUGGCUUAAGCUUCGCAUGGAGCUUUGGCUAAAGAUUUAUUGCUUGGGGAUGAGCUCGCGCCCCAUUAGUUAGUUGGUGAGGUGAUGGCUCACCAAGACGAUGAUGGGUAGCUGGUCUGAGAGGAUGGUCAGCCACACUGGGACUGAGACACUGCCCAGACUCCUACGGGAGGCUGCAGUCGAGAAUCUUGGGCAAUGCGCGAAAGCGUGACCCAGCAAUGCCGCGUGUGUGAUGAAGGUCUUCGGAUUGUAAAACACUGUCUCCCGGGACGAAAAUUGACGGUACCGGGGAAGGAAGCCACGGCUAACUACGUGCCAGCAGCCGCGGUAAUACGUAGGUGGCGAGCGUUGUUCGGAUUUAUUGGGCGUAAAGGGUCUGUAGGAGGUUCGAUAAAUACGGGGUGAAAUCCGGGA
Molecule: ribosomal RNA, 494 nt
Filed under: uncultured bacterium
Lineage: Bacteria
Description: bacterial SSU rRNA
Rfam family: Bacterial small subunit ribosomal RNA
Source: RNAcentral